This 2520-nucleotide unclassified non-coding RNA is filed under the name Hevea brasiliensis (rubber tree). The record is from RNAcentral. Lineage: Eukaryota; Viridiplantae; Streptophyta; Magnoliopsida; Malpighiales; Euphorbiaceae.
CCAAAAUUGAUCAUUUCCGAUUGAAAAAAGUUCUCCUUGUCAUGACUCCUCCCACAGCUUGGCAAUGGCUAAGCCUUGCUGGUAUCAUAUGGCUACAAUCUGUAAAUGGAACAAACACAAACUUUCCUGCAUACUCAUCCCAACUCAAACAGCUCCUCUCUUUGUCUCAACUUCAGCUUAACAAUCUUGCCUUUGCCUCAGAUGCUGGAAAACUAUUCGGUUUCUUUUCAGGCAUUGCUGCUUUUUACCUUCCCUUAUGGCUGGUUCUCUUGAUCGGUUCUACUCUUGGUUUGAUUGGUUAUGGAGUGCAAUAUCUCUUCAUAACAAAUUAUAUUUCCUCUCUUUCCUAUACCCAUAUCUUCUUACUCACCGUUGUUGCAGGAAACAGUAUUUGUUGGAUUAACACAGUUUGCUAUGUAGUUACCAUUAGGAACUUCCCCUCUGAUCGCCAAGUAGCUGUGGGAUUAUCCACCAGCUAUCAAGGAUUAAGUGCUAAGAUAUAUACAGUAAUUGUUGAUGCCUUGUUCGUUUCUUUUCCUGAAAAAAAAGCUAAAGCUUAUCUUCUUUUUAACUCCAUCUUACCAUUUCUGGUUAGUGUGCUAGCUGCACCUGUAGUUAGAGAUAUUAUUAAUAUUGUAAAUGGCAAGAACAUCAAAAGUGGGUUCAUGGUAAUGUUUAUUAUAACUAUAGCUACUGGAAUUUAUGCUGUGAUCACUAGUUUGAGGUCCAUGCCAAGUGGGUUACCACCUUUUGGUAAUGCAAUUGGUGUUCUGGUGUUUCUCUUGGCUCCCCUUGUAAUCCCAUUGGCAGUGAAGAUCAGAGAAAUUUUAGCAGCAAAAUCAUGGAUAAACAGAGAGGCAAAGGUUUAUAAUUUUACCGUGGAAGAGAAUGUUAAUGUGGAACGAAUGGAGAAUGGGGUGAAAGAAGGAGACGACACAAGGGAAGCUAUUGAGCUAGGUGUGAAGGAAGAAAUUGGAGUGAAAUUAAUGUUAAAGAGAUUGAAUUUUUGGUUAUAUUUCUUUAUAUAUUUAUCUGGUGCAACACUUGGGCUUGUAUAUUUGAACAACUUGGGACAAAUAGCGGAGUCUCGUGGAUGUUCAAGGACUUCUUCUUUGGUUUCUUUGUCUUCCUCAUUUGGCUUCUUUGGUCGGCUCAUGCCAUCCCUUGUGGACUACUUUUUCCCAAGGUAAAUUCAAUUUCUUUUCCAAAGUCUUCCUUUCUUUUCACAUGUUUGACAGUCACUAGAAUUCUUUCUUUCUUUCCUCUUCCUUCUUCUUUUUCUUUUCUCAUUCUUUGUGGGGUUGUUGGGAUUUUAUUGAUUCUACUUACCUUUGGUUGCUAAUUAAUACAUAUUAACGUCUUAAGCUGAUAAAUUUAAGAAGCCUAUUGACUUUGGUGGCUUUUCUUGGUCCAAAAAGGAUUUCCCCUUUUCAUUCAAUUUCUUUUGGAUUUUGCAGGAGCAAGCUCAUUAUUUCAAGGCCAGCUUCUAUAGCAGUACUAAUGACUCCAAUGGCAGGAGCAUUCUUCUUACUUCUAAACGCAUCCAAUAUCUCUCUCUACAUUAGCACUGCAAUUAUCGGUAUUUGUACUGGAGCAAUUACUUCUAUUUCUGUAUCCACAACAACAGAGCUAUUUGGCACCAAGAAUUUCAGCGUCAACCAUAAUCUAGUAGUUGCCAAUAUUCCAAUUGGAUCCUUCCUUUUUGGGUAUUUUGCUGCCCUUCUUUAUCACAAGGAAGGUAAUGAAGAUGGAAAAUGCAUGGGGAUGCAGUGUUAUAGGAGCACUUUCAUUAUCUGGGGCUCACUUUGUUUUCUUGGUGCUACCUUAGCUUUAAUUCUAUGUGCUCGGAUGAGAAAGUUCUACUCGCAACUUACAUAGAUCACAUAUUAAUAGGUCUACGCACAGUAAUUACAUAUAUAUUUUGUGUACUCACAUGUUAAAAUUUUAAAUCUUAUGCCUGACUCGCCUUAUAAUUUUGAGAAACAAAGGACAGAAAUAUAAACUUUUUAAAUGUUAUAUAAGAUAUGUAAGUAUUGCAAGACUUUAUAUUAAUACAUGAAUAUAAUUAUUCUCAUUAGUGACUUCUGAUCAAAUCAUUAUGUCAUCCUUACAAAUUUCUUGAGUAUGUUGCAUUUCUCAGGUGUUUGAAGAAUUAAUGAAUGGAAUUCACAAAUGUUCGCUUGUGGAUUUAAGAAUAUAUAUAUAUCGAGUUCAUAAUAAAUCAGCAUUAGGGAAGUUUGUUGAUUUUGCAAUCUUUGUUUGGUUUGAAUCUAUGUUGCCAAUUAUUUGGGGAACAUUUGUUUUGUUGCCUUUUCACAUUGGGAAGCCUUUUAGCUCUUCAAAAUAGUGUGAUUUGACAUCAAACAACGAUAUACCAUAUGAGCAACGUAAAAGGGCAGUGUGAAUAUAUAGAAAUUAAAAUUUGAAACCAAUUAGGUAGGCUGCUUUUGUUGGCCAUUACCUUGCUUUCAUGAUCUUAAUAUGGAGAGGCUGUGGAAUUCUUUUUAUUAUUAUUAUUAU